UACGGAGGGUGCAAGCGUUAUCCGGAUUCACUGGGUUUAAAGGGUGCGUAGGUGGGUCUGUAAGUCAGUGGUGAAAUCUCCGGGCUUAACUCGGAAACUGCCAUUGAUACUAUAGGUCUUGAGUUAUCUGGAGGUGAGCGGAAUAUGUCAUGUAGCGGUGAAAUGCUUAGAUAUGACAUAGAACACCAAUUGCGAAGGCAGCUCACUACGGAUAUAUUGACACUGAGGCACGAAAGCGUGGGGAUCAAACAGG
Molecule: ribosomal RNA, 253 nt
Filed under: uncultured bacterium
Lineage: Bacteria
Description: partial 16S ribosomal RNA
Rfam family: Bacterial small subunit ribosomal RNA
Source: RNAcentral